GAGCUGCGAUAAGUAAUGUGAAUUGCAGAACUCAGUGAAUCAUCGAGUCUUCGAACGCACAUUGCGCCCCCUGGCACUCCGGGGGGCACGCCUGUCCGAGCGUCGUCGACGAUCCCUCGGGCCUCCCCGUGCCGGGAGGCCCGGCCUUGGGCCUCCAACGCCCCCGUGUGGGUGGGCCCGCAAGCCAUCGACCGGCUGUCCCUGGGGGCCCCGAGCGCAGCGGCUGUGUUCUCCACUUGCUCGAGGAGGCCCCCCGGGUCGUGACCCCGCCGGCGCGAAAGCCCCCCUGGGGCCGCGUGAACGCGUCGUCCCCAGCGCCCGUUGACCUCGGAUCAGGCGGGGUUACCCGCUGAACUUAAGC
This 361-nucleotide unclassified non-coding RNA is filed under the name plant metagenome. RNAcentral's name for it is "partial contains 5.8S ribosomal RNA, internal transcribed spacer 2, and large subunit ribosomal RNA". The stretch from base 1 to 105 matches the Rfam family "5.8S ribosomal RNA", at positions 50 to 154 of the family's 154-position model. The record is from RNAcentral.